Schistosoma rodhaini is the source of this 78-nucleotide non-coding RNA. NCBI's taxonomy places the organism in Eukaryota, Metazoa, Platyhelminthes, Trematoda, Strigeidida, Schistosomatidae. The record is from Rfam.
AGACUUCUGAAUCCGGGCCGAAAUUUUGUCGGACAUCAAAGCAUCAGGACUGAUGAGACUCCCCAGGUAACUGAAGCU